GCCCUAAUAGCUUAAGUUUUAGAGCACAACAUUGAAGAUGUUGAGGUAUUUAUUUUAGAGCA
This 62-nucleotide transfer RNA is filed under the name Docophoroides brevis. RNAcentral describes it as "tRNA-Phe". The record is from RNAcentral. Lineage: Eukaryota; Metazoa; Arthropoda; Insecta; Psocodea; Philopteridae.